AGACGUUCCCGGCGAAGGCGUUUUGGAGGAGUAUCUAGCCGAGGAAAUCGAACCAGGAAACGAAGCAGUCACUAUCGAGAUUCUGGAUGCUAGCAAAGCUGUCGUUGUUGACUCACAGUUAAAAGUCGCAAGUCGGUCUCGAUCAGAAAAUCGGAAUUGGAUGCUCGUUCGUGAAAUCGAUUCUAAUCAGCCAUUAAUCACAAGCUAUUAUGAGUGCACUCAACGAAUCGUUAAUAUAGCUGAACAACUCCAAACCGAUUCGAGUUCGGGACGGUCGUCUAAUUCUACACCAUGUAUCCUGGAUAUUGAAACGACUUCUAAUACGGCUUCACCUAGUAUGAAAUCUAAACUCCUUCUGGAGCUCGUAAAUCUCUUCAAUGUCAGCGGGAAAAGGAUCAAAUUUGCAGAUGAGUUUAAGACGUAUUGCACCUACAUGUAUAUUUUAGCAGGACCGAAGGCUUAUAAUACGCUUAAAUCAACAUUGCCGUUAAUUUCGUUGAGAACUGCACAAAAACAUCUACACAAAACUAUUGAUCGAGUUAAAGAAGGGGAAUUGCGAGUUGAGCAGCUGAAGAAAUUUUUGGAACUCACGGAUUCUCCACCUGUUGUUUGGCUAUCCGAGGAUGCAACGAGGCUAGUUUCUAAAUUACAAAUCGAUCCUGCUUCUGGAAAUAUAAUUGGAACUCUUCUGCCGAAAGAUGAUGAGACAGGAAUGCCUGUAUUAUUACAGAGAGACCUUGAAAGUGUUUCACAGAUGAAAAAAGAAUUGAACUCCUCCACACUGACCAUCAACGCCGUAGUCACUAUAGACCCUUAAAAAAAGGUGCCCCACCUUUCUGUUUGAUGGUUGUGGGAUGUGAUAAGUUUACUGCAGCACCAGUAACCAAACGACGCAUAUUCGUAAUAGAGAAACUAAAUUCUGUUGGUAUAUUAGUUCCAGGAAGCUCUUCAGAUGGCGAUUCACGAUAUACAUGUUCUCAAAAACAAUUCUGUGGAAUGUACAAAAAUGUGCAACUAACGAAUGUACCAGCAGACUGGAUCCAUUGGUUCAAUACUCCAUUUGAGAAUGAUUACGGUCACCACUGCAUUCAAGACACUGUGCAUAUCAUGGGCAAGAUGCGAAACAAUUUGUUCAACUCAGGAAGUGGUAUAAGAAUAGGAAAUUUCAUCGCAUCUAAAGCACACCUAAGGAUCGUUGUUCAGAAUAUGCCACGCACAAUACAUAAAUUGAAUGUUGGAGACAUUUUGUCGAAUGACAAAAUGAAUUAUUCUUCUAUUACAAAGCUACUAAACCCAAAAAUUGAGGAAUGGGUUCUAACAAAUAUUCCUGGAGGUAGUGGAACUGUGAUGUAUCUUAAAAUAAUGCGAUAUGUGAAUGAAGCUUUCAUAGACUCAUCGCUCAGUCCUCUAUGUCGUAUUUAUAGGAUGGCGUUUGCUGUAAUGGCUCUCCGUAUCUGGAAGACUUGUUGUAGGAAAAACAGGAGCUGCUUUAUGAUAGCGGCAAAUAUCUAC
Molecule: long non-coding RNA, 1512 nt
Organism: Toxorhynchites rutilus septentrionalis
Lineage: Eukaryota; Metazoa; Arthropoda; Insecta; Diptera; Culicidae
Exons: 3
Source: RefSeq, a predicted model, not a curated record